Molecule: ribosomal RNA, 564 nt
Filed under: Triticum aestivum (bread wheat)
Lineage: Eukaryota; Viridiplantae; Streptophyta; Magnoliopsida; Poales; Poaceae
Description: partial small subunit ribosomal RNA
Source: RNAcentral
AUGGGGAAUCAGAUGCCCCUCCCGUUCGUGUAUGAGGCCUUCCCCGAGAAGCUACGGCAGAUUGGAUCUGUGCCGUCAGAGAUGCUAGAAGCAACAAGGGCGAGGCGAUGGAGGGAGAGAGCGAUGCAGAUCCGAGAUGAUGCCAUGUCGUGGAUGCACUGUGUGCGGGAGUGGAAGGAGAUGGAGGAGGCCAUGGCAGCGGCCAUGGUGUCAGAUCCAGAGUGGAGUUCUCAUUGGAGGCGUCGGGUGCAGACAUACAAGAACCAGGCGGAUCAGGAGAUGGUGAAUUUUGCCCGACGGAUAUAUUUCGAAGCCACAUAUCUGGAGAGGGCCAGAAUGCCAUCUCCAUCGGCGCCGCCGGUUGAUUUUGCAAAUUGGGCGAAGGUGGAGGCGCAAUCGGGGGAUCCAAUGCGCAGUGAGAGAUGGGAGUGCUUGGUGGGACUCAUGCCCACCAGCGUUCCUGCUCUGCUAGCCCCCAGAGAUGGGAGUGCUUGGUGGGACUCAGGUGAAAGGAAUGAUGAUAUAGCUUUGGUUAGCGUUGAGAAGGUUUUGAUGAUGAUCUAG